Molecule: ribosomal RNA, 518 nt
Filed under: fungal clone UUF-29
Lineage: Eukaryota; Fungi
Description: SSU rRNA
Rfam family: Eukaryotic small subunit ribosomal RNA
Source: RNAcentral
AUAAAAAACCAACGCCCUUCGGGGCUUCUUGGUGAUUCAUGAUAACUUUUCGGAUCGCAUGGCCUUGCGCCGGCGACGGUUCAUUCAAAUUUCUUGCCCUAUCAACUUUCGAUGGUAAGUUAGUGGCUUACCAUGGUUUCAACGGGUAACGGGGAAUUAGGGUUCGAUUCCGGAGAGCGAGCCUGAGAAACGGCUAGCACAUCCAAGGAAGGCAGCAGGCGCGCAAAUUACCCAAUCCCAAUACGGGGAGGUAGUGACAAUAAAUACUGAUACAGGGCUCUUUUGGGUCUUGUAAUUGGAAUGAGUACAAUUUAAACCUCUUAACGAGGAACAAUUGGAGGGCAAGUCUGGUGCCAGCAGCCGCGGUAAUUCCAGCUCCAAUAGCGUAUAUUAAAGUUGUUGCAGUUAAAAAGCUCGUAGUUGAAACUUGGGCCUGGCUGGCARGUCCGCCUCACCGCGUGUACUUGUCCGGCCGGGCCUUCCUUCUGGAGAACCUCAUGCUCYUCAUUGGGCGUGUG